RNAcentral lists this ribosomal RNA (421 nucleotides) under uncultured bacterium. Its description in RNAcentral is "bacterial SSU rRNA". It matches the Rfam family "Bacterial small subunit ribosomal RNA", at positions 356 to 794 of the family's 1533-position model. The record is from RNAcentral.
UGGGAAUAUUGCACAAUGGGCGAAAGCCUGAUGCAGCAACGCCGCGUGAGCGAAGAAGGUCUUCGGAUCGUAAAGCUCUGUCCUUGGGGAAGAUAAUGACGGUACCCUUGGAGGAAGCCCCGGCUAACUACGUGCCAGCAGCCGCGGUAAUACGUAGGGGGCAAGCGUUGUCCGGAAUGAUUGGGCGUAAAGGGCGCGUAGGCGGCCCGUUAAGUCUGGAGUGAAAGUCCUGCUUUCAAGGUGGGAAUUGCUUUGGAUACUGGCGGGCUUGAGUGCAGGAGAGGUAAGUGGAAUUCCCAGUGUAGCGGUGAAAUGCGUAGAGAUUGGGAGGAACACCAGUGGCGAAGGCGACUUACUGGACUGUAACUGACGCUGAGGCGCGAAAGUGUGGGGAGCAAACAGGAUUAGAUACCCUGGUAGU